UACGAAGGGUGCAAGCGUUACUCGGAAUUACUGGGCGUAAAGCGUGCGUAGGUGGUUUGUUAAGUCUGAUGUGAAAGCCCUGGGCUCAACCUGGGAAUUGCAUUGGAUACUGGCAGGCUAGAGUGCGGUAGAGGGUAGUGGAAUUCCCGGUGUAGCAGUGGAAUGCGUAGAGAUCGGGAGGAACACCAGUGGCGAAGGCGACUACCUGGACCAGCACUGACACUGAGGCACGAAAGCGUGGGGAGCAAACAGG
Molecule: ribosomal RNA, 253 nt
Filed under: uncultured bacterium
Lineage: Bacteria
Description: partial 16S ribosomal RNA
Rfam family: Bacterial small subunit ribosomal RNA
Source: RNAcentral